GUGAAUCAUCAAAUUUUUGAACGCAAAUUGCGCUUCCUGGCAUCCCGGGAAGUAUGCCUGUUUGAGGGUCAGUAUUAAUAAAAAACCGGUUGAGUUACAAAUUGUGACGUUUCCGGCGUUCGGGCUAUCUUAACAUUUUUGGUUAAGAGGCUUAAAAUUGACCUUUUUUGUGUAUUUUGAAUCGUACAGAAUUUUUUUUUUAUUGGUCUAUUCUUAAUG
RNAcentral lists this unclassified non-coding RNA (219 nucleotides) under Glomeraceae sp. RNAcentral describes it as "partial contains 5.8S ribosomal RNA and internal transcribed spacer 2". The stretch from base 1 to 71 matches the Rfam family "5.8S ribosomal RNA", at positions 84 to 154 of the family's 154-position model. Lineage: Eukaryota; Fungi; Glomeromycota; Glomeromycetes; Glomerales; Glomeraceae. The record is from RNAcentral.